Molecule: long non-coding RNA, 841 nt
Filed under: Daphnia magna
Lineage: Eukaryota; Metazoa; Arthropoda; Branchiopoda; Diplostraca; Daphniidae
Description: uncharacterized LOC123475505, transcript variant X1
Source: RNAcentral
ACAUAAAAAGGGGCAACUACGGAACGCCGUUUGAUCCACUUUUUAAUAGACAACUCUUUUUCGAAAGUUGUCCGUUUAUUUAGCAAAUAAAUAAAUAACUUGUACUGCCAUGUAGAGAUUUCGAUAGACGACGCCUUCAAGGGAGGAGGAGUCUACAACAUAUUGAAUUUAUCGAUCGAUUGUUAGGUCGAUUUCGAUCAGCAUUGUAUAGUUAAUGAAUGACCACUUGAGUACUUGACGAGUUCUCGACACGCAAGUUGAAAGUAUACGCGUGUUUGCACCUCGAUGAGCGUUGCACAAUAACAAAGCUCCGUUGCUAGGUGAAGUCCUUGAGUGCCUCAAGAAGGAAUCGCCGAACAUCGUCAUACAGUAUUUUUUCCUUCAACAAUUAAUCUUGCAUCUCCAACCGUGGAAUGAGUUACAUGUGACUCGAGACAAACAAACAGUGCAAUUGCAACAAUAUAAUUAGUCAGCGAUAUAAAUUUGCCAAAUCUUCAUGUCAACCACAAGGAUUCUGCUUUUGCACACAACUUCAUUAUUAAUGUGUUUCUUCAGGUAUGGUCACUAUCAGCAGCUUUACACACAGUGUGCAUCGUGAAUACACCAAUCCCAGAGAAAACAUUCCAAUGGAAAAUAUUGAGAAUUUCUGCCGUUCUAUCCUGAACUACACAAUGCUGGUAUAAAUAACCCAGCCUAGCAGCCAUUUUUUUAACACCUCCCUCGCGCUCCUGGCGGAUUGAAUCGGAGCGAACCAAUCACUUUUUCAUUUUUGGCCAAAUUUCAAAUUUUGCUAAAAAUACAUAAUUUAGAUUCAGAAUGGAAUAAAAAUCACGGAAAUCAG